GACCGCGUAGCUCAGUUGGAAGAGCAUUGGGCUGCUAGUAUUCCAAAGGUCGUAGGUUCGAAUCCCACCGUGGCCG
Non-coding RNA from Paramuricea clavata, 76 nucleotides. The record is from the annotation of a GenBank genome assembly. Lineage: Eukaryota; Metazoa; Cnidaria; Anthozoa; Malacalcyonacea; Plexauridae.